GCGGGCGAGCGGAUCCUGCUUUCGCAGCGAUCGCGAGCGUGUGGCGAUUGCUUCUGUCUGUUAUUUAGAUAUGGAAGCUGAGGGGAUGCACAGAGGCAGCCGGAACCUGGGUCGGGGUCUCGCUCGGUGCUGACCGCUCCCGGGGUCGAGUAGGCGAUGGGGGAGCCCGGCUUCUUCGUCACAGGAGACCGCGCCGGUGGCCGGAGCUGGUGCCUGCGGCGGGUGGGGAUGAGCGCCGGGUGGCUGCUGCUGGAAGAUGGGUGCGAGGUGACUGUAGGACGAGGAUUUGGUGUCACAUACCAACUGGUAUCAAAAAUCUGCCCCCUGAUGAUUUCUCGAAACCACUGUGUUUUGAAGCAGAAUCCUGAGGGCCAGUGGACAAUUAUGGACAACAAGAGUCUAAAUGGUGUUUGGCUGAACAGAGCACGUCUGGAACCUUUAAGGGUCUAUUCCAUUCAUCAGGGAGACUACAUCCAACUUGGAGUGCCUCUGGAAAAUAAGGAGAAUGCGGAGUAUGAAUAUGAAGUUACUGAAGAAGACUGGGAGACAAUAUAUCCUUGUCUUUCCCCCAAGAAUGACCAAGUGAUAGAAAAAAAUAAGGAAUUGAGAACUAAAAGGAAAUUCAGUUUGGAUGAAUUAGCAGGUCCUGGAGCUGAAGGCCCCUCAAAUUUGAAAUCCAAAAUAAAUAAAGUGUCUUGUGAAUCUGGUCAGUCAGUGAAAUCACAGGGGAAAGGUGAAGUGUCCAGUACACCUUCUGAAAAUUUGGAUCCUAAGUUGACUGUCCUUGAGCCAAGUAAGAAGACCACAGGGGCUCCCAUUUACCUUGGCUUCCCCAAAGUCACAGAGGUUCAUCAUGAGCAGACAGCCUCAAACUCUUCAGCAUCUCAGAGAGGCUUACAGAUGUUUAAGGUGACCAUGUCCAGGAUUCUGAGGCUGAAAAUACAGAUGCAGGAAAAACAUGAAGCCGUUAUGAAUGUGAAAAAGCAGACCCAAAAGGGGAACUCAAAGAAAAUUGUGCAAAUGGAGCAGGAACUGCAGGACUUACAGUCCCAGCUGUGUGCAGAGCAGGCUCAGCAGCAGGCAAGAGUGGAGCAACUAGAGAAGACUUUCCAGGAAGAGGAACAGCAUCUUCAGGAUUUGGAGAUAGCGCAAGGAGAAGAGGACCUGAAGCAACAGCUGGCCCAGGCUCUACAGGAGCAUUGGGCUCUAAUGGAAGAGCUAAAUCGCAGCAAGAAGGACUUUGAAGCAAUCAUUCAAGCCAAGAACAAAGAAUUAGAGCAGACCAAGGAAGAGAAGGAGAAGGUGCAAGCACAGAAGGAAGAAGUUCUCAGCCACAUGAAUGAUGUGCUAGAGAAUGAGCUCCAAUGUAUUAUUUGUUCAGAAUACUUCAUUGAGGUAAUUAUGAACAGUUGCUCACCCCUUCUUUUUUUUUUGAGACAGAGUCUCACUCUGUCAACUCAGGCUGGAGUGCAGUGCCACGAUCUCGGCUCACUGCAACCUCCACUUCCUGGGCUCAAGCAGUUCUUGUGCCUCAGCCUCCCGAGUAGCUGGGAUUACAGGCACAUGCCACCACGCCUGGCUAAGUUUUUGUAUUUUUAGUAGACAUGGGGUUUUGCCAUGUUGGCCAGGCUGGUCUCGAACUCCUGACCUCAGCAGUUUGGAAGGCCGAGGCAGGAGGAUCACCUGAGGUCAGGAGCUCGAGACCAGACUGGCCAACAUGGUGAAACCCCAUCUCUACUAAAACUACAAAAAUUAGCCAGACAUGGUGGUGUGUGUAUGUAGUCCCAGCUAGUCGGAAGGCUGAGGCAGGAGAAUCACUUCAAUUCGGGAAGCAGAGGCUACAGUGAGCCGAGAUCAAGCCACUGCACUCCAGCCUGGGCGACAGAGCAAGGCAUGAAAAAAAAGAAAAAGAGAAAGAAAAAUGUAGGCUAGGUGCAAUGGCUCAUGCCUAUAAUCCGAGCACUCUGGGAGGCCAAGGUGGGCGGAUCACCUGAGGUCAAGAGUUCAAGAUCAGCCUGGUCAACAUGGCAAAACCCCGUCUUUACUAAAAAUACAAAAAUUAGCCAAGCAUGGUGGUGUGUACCUGUAAUCCCAGCUACUCGGGAGGCUGAGGCAGAAGAAUUGCUUGAACCCAGGAGGCAGAGCUUGCAGUGAGCCGAUAUCACACCACUGCACUCCAGCAUGGGUAACAGAGCGAGACUCC
Molecule: RNA transcript, 2203 nt
Organism: Pongo pygmaeus (Bornean orangutan)
Lineage: Eukaryota; Metazoa; Chordata; Mammalia; Primates; Hominidae
Gene: RNF8
Gene name: ring finger protein 8
Exons: 7
Source: RefSeq, a predicted model, not a curated record